This 688-nucleotide ribosomal RNA is filed under the name uncultured Candidatus Pelagibacter sp. RNAcentral's name for it is "bacterial SSU rRNA". It matches the Rfam family "Bacterial small subunit ribosomal RNA", at positions 56 to 791 of the family's 1533-position model. Lineage: Bacteria; Pseudomonadati; Pseudomonadota; Alphaproteobacteria; Candidatus Pelagibacterales; Candidatus Pelagibacteraceae. The record is from RNAcentral.
UGCAGUCGACGAAGUAGCAAUACUUAGUGGCAGACGGGUGAGUAACAUGUGGGUAUCUUCCCUUUGGCCUGGAAUAACACGAGGAAACUUGUGCUAAUACCGGAUAAGUCUUUACGGAGAAAGCUUUAUGCACCAUUGGAUGAGCCCGCACUUGAUUAGUUUGUUGGUGGGGUAAUGGCCUACCAAGACAAUGAUCAAUAGCUGAUUUGAGAGGAUGAUCAGCCACAUUGGGACUGAGACACGGCCCAAACUCCUACGGGAGGCAGCAGUGGGGAAUCUUGCACAAUGGAGGAAACUCUGAUGCAGCGAUGCCGCGUGAGUGAAGAAGGCCUUUGGGUUGUAAAGCUCUUUCGUCGGGGAAGAAAAUGACUGUACCCGAAUAAGAAGGUCCGGCUAACUUCGUGCCAGCAGCCGCGGUAAUACGUAGGGUGCGAGCGUUGUUCGGAAUUACUGGGCGUAAAGGGCGUGCAGGCGGAUUGGUAAGCCGGAGGUGAAAGCCCGGGGCUCAACCCCGGAGGGUCUUUCGGAACUGCCAGUCUUGAGAGGGUCAGGGGCCAGCGGAAUUCCUGGUGUAGAGGUGAAAUUCGUAGAGAUCAGGAGGAACACCGGCGGCGAAAGCGGCUGGCUGGGGCCACUCUGACGCUGAGGCGCGAAAGCGUGGGGAGCAAACAGGAUUAGAUACCCUGGU